RNAcentral lists this long non-coding RNA (720 nucleotides) under Mytilus galloprovincialis (Mediterranean mussel). Lineage: Eukaryota; Metazoa; Mollusca; Bivalvia; Mytilida; Mytilidae. The record is from RNAcentral.
CGUAAUCUAAAAAUAAAUUCUAAAUUAGUUAAGGAAAGAGCCUACCAAACAAUAGUCGGACCAAAACUAGAAUACUGCUGUACAGUUUGGGAUCCAUAUACCUUAGAAAAUAUAUAUAAGUUGGAACAAGUACAAAGAAGAGCUGCAAGAUAUACUUGCAACAGAUAUCACAAUACCAGCAGUGUAUCUGAAAUGAUAGAACAUCUAAAAUGGCAAUCCUUACAAGAACGCAGACUAAAAACCAGACUCCAAAUGUUGCACAAAGUCAUCAACAAUGAAAUUGCAAUACCAUCGCAAGAUAUACUCAUAAAAAGCCAGUCUAAAACAAGAACUACCAUCAACAGACAUACAGACAACUUCAGUGUAACAAAGACACCUUUAAAUUUUCUUUUUUCAGCCAAACAAUCAAAGAUUGGAACAAAUUACCACCCGAUAUCUCAAACCAAACCUCUACAGACAACUUUAAGGAUGCACUCACUCAUGAGGUGCUCCUUAAAACAUACUCUCAUCUGAACUAGAUGUGCUUAUUGUUUUUAUCUUAUAGUUAUAAAAAAAAUAUAUAUAAAAAAUGUAAAAAUUGAAACUUAAAAAAUUGUAAAUCUCAUAAAUAAAUAAAAGUAAUAAAAAAAAAAAAGGAAAUUAACUUAAAGCGACCUCAUACAGGCAUGCGCCGGAAAGUAAUCCUCAAAAAGUUGAUGGUAUUCCGUAACUAAAGAAGAA